Molecule: ribosomal RNA, 400 nt
Filed under: uncultured prokaryote
Description: bacterial SSU rRNA
Rfam family: Bacterial small subunit ribosomal RNA
Source: RNAcentral
UAGGGAAUAUUAGAAAUGGACGAAAGUCUGAUCUAGCAACACCGCGUGUGCGAAGAAGGCCUUCGGGUCGUAAAGCACUUUUGGAAGGAAUAGGAAGGAAUGUACUUCCAGAAUAAGUCUCGGCUAACUCGUGCCAGCAGCCGCGGUAAUACGAGUGGUGCAAGCGUUAUUCGGAAUCAUUGGGCGUACAGGGUGUGUAGGCGGCAUGUUAAGUCUGUUGUUAAAGACUCCGGCCUAACCGGAGACAGGCAGCGGAAACUGGCGUGCUAGAGGGUGGAAGAGAGAAGUGGAAUUCUCGGUGUAGCGGUAAAAUGCGUAGAUAUCGAGAGGAACACCGAUGGCGAAGGCAGCUUCUUGGUCCAUUCCUGACGCUGAAACACGAAAGCGUGGGGAGCAAACA